Molecule: ribosomal RNA, 495 nt
Filed under: uncultured bacterium
Lineage: Bacteria
Description: partial 16S ribosomal RNA
Rfam family: Bacterial small subunit ribosomal RNA
Source: RNAcentral
GACGAACGCUGGCGGCGUGCCUAAUACAUGCAAGUAGAGCGCUGAAGGAGGAGCUUGCUCUUCUGGAUGAGUUGCGAACGGGUGAGUAACGCGUAGGUAACCUGCCUGGUAGCGGGGGAUAACUAUUGGAAACGAUAGCUAAUACCGCAUAAAAUUGAUUAUUGCAUGAUAGUCAAUUAAAAGGUGCAAUUGCAUCACUACCAGAUGGACCUGCGUUGUAUUAGCUAGUUGGUGAGGUAACGGCUCACCAAGGCAACGAUACAUAGCCGACCUGAGAGGGGGCUCGGCCCCCCUGGGACUGGGACACGGCCCAGACUCCUACGGGAGGCAGCAGUAGGGAAUCUUCGGCAAUGGACGGAAGUCUGACCGAGCAACGCCGCGUGAGUGAAGAAGGUUUUCGGAUCGUAAAGCUCUGUUGUAAGAGAAGAACGAGUGUGAGAGUGGAAAGUUCACACUGUGACGGUAUCUUACCAGAAAGGGACGGCUAACUACGUG